UCCCAUCCUUGCUCUGAGCACUUCUUCCUAGGUUGACUACCCCCUAGUUGAAAGCUGCCAAUUUCUUAGAUCUUCCACCAAUCAUGUCAAAACAACUCAGCUUAACUUAAAAAUUAUGUUAGCUUGUUUCCUCUUAGAUGAUUCUAAUAGUACUAGACAUGCAGUUAUGAUAGGAGAUCUGAGGGGGCAUAUAAUGUUCAAAAUACCCAUCCAAAGGGGGACGGGCAGCUUGCAGUGGAAGCAAACAAAACCAACAGGUACAGCGAAGAAGUAACAAGGAAGUACAAUGAUUUUGAGUUUUCCUCAAUAUGAAAAUGCAUCCUCAUAUUCUGCAUGAAGCCAGACAACCGUGUGGCUGAAGGUGGUGAACACAUCCAUUCCAAGAGUGUUUCAUGCAGUUUUUGAAGCAGAUUUCUUAGAGAUGAAGAUGAUGCUGGUUUCUUGGGGACACAACCAGCCCGUGGCGGUCCACCCAAGGGUCCCACUGCAGCCCAACGAAUACCACUAGGUGUCAGCGCAGUGCCAUGGAUUGCAAAUACAUUAAAUGACGCAGCGACCACUGUGUAAUUAGCAAAAAUAGUUUAAAAUGUGUUUCUCUUUCCUUUCUAAUGCUUUUAAACCAGUUUAGUAUUUUUGGGUUUUUUCCCCUUUUAUUCCCUUUUUAAUUUUCAGAAUUUGGUAGUCAAACAACCUGGCAACCAUGACACUUUAUGCUAGCUAUGAUGUCAGAGCAAAUGCCAUGUUAACACAGCUCAGUCUUUUCUUUUACUCAAACUGAAUUUUAUUCCAUAAAACUUUCAGCAUCAAGCACGAAGCAGAAGAGUUAAUCAGAGACGACAAUCCUACUUGAACAUAUUUCCUGAAAAAUAUAGGUAUA
This is a long non-coding RNA of Pseudopipra pipra, 877 nucleotides long. RefSeq lists it as uncharacterized. NCBI's taxonomy places the organism in Eukaryota, Metazoa, Chordata, Aves, Passeriformes, Pipridae. The record is from RefSeq and is a predicted model, not a curated record. The transcript is spliced from 3 exons.